UCGAAUCCGUUUAAUCCCGUCAUGACACGAAUCAAGAACAUGAUUAUUAGCUUAAUUUGUAUAAAGUUUUAGGAAAAAAAGGGUGUCCGUUAUAAAACGGGAGAGAGAGAUGAACCGGGUCGACCCGUCAUCAUCGCCAGAAACCGGACGAAGCGUCGCGUUUGAAGCACGAAAAUUGCGGCUAAAACCCAUCACCAUACCUUCGAUCUCGCCGGAAUUAGGCCUCGCCACCGCCUGGAUCUUUCUCCUCAGCUCACCCUCAUCAUUUUCAGACGGGUCCCGUCACCUGAAACGGUCGUUUAGCCGCCGGUCGGCCGCCGGAAGUUCACGUUUUUUUAAGCUCGAUUCGUCGUCGCUUCCGAGCGUGAAUCGUCACCGCUGGCGCCAUCGACCUCAACGUGGUCCGCACUAUCAGAUCUGAGUUUCCCGACCACCAUUGACUGAACUACGGGCAUUUCGGUAAUUUCACAUAUUGGUGGAUAAUUUAGUAAUUUCAGACUAAGGGCAGUUAGUUAAUCUAGAUUUUGGGGUAAUUUGGUAAUUUAAGUCUUUUAAGGCAUUUUGAUAAUUUCAUACUCCGAGGGUAAUUUCAUAAAUUCAUAUCUUAGUAGACAAUUUGGUAAUUAGAUUGAGGGCAGUUUAGCAAUUCGCCACUUCAGGGUAAUUUGAUAAUUUAUGUUUCAAGGGUGUUUUGUAAUUUUAAGAGAUAGGAGUGUUUUAGUAAUUUUAGAGAAUUAGAAGAUGUGUAAUAGGAAUAAAUAAUCAUUUCGAGUUUUAUUGCAUAGCAUUAUUGUAUUUCACAUAUACGUGUAGUAAUUAUGUCGUUUCCUUCAAUUAAGAGGACUCUCAAACGAGAAUCAACUCACACACAUGAACAAAAAUCGAGUUUGAAUAUUGUAACUGUGAGUGAAAUAUACAAAAUAUAUUUUCUUUGUAGUUUAUUAUGAUUUUAAAGUAUGGUAAAGUAUGUUUAUGAAAUAAGUUUUUUAAUACCUUUAUUUAAUGAUUUUUCUAUAAUAGAUUUUAUCUACAUAUUGAAUACUUAUUAUUAAAAAUGUUUAUAAUUAUUGAUUUUAUUAUCGAUUUUAAGUAAUUACACAACAAUAUCUUUAAAGAAAAGAAAAAUAAAUUUAAAAUAUGUUAAAUGGAAACGAAAUGAGAUUUAAAGUAUGAUUAUAUACUUAUAUAUGUGUGUAUAAAGGUUGUUUGUAAAAUUAUUAGACAGUAUCAUUUUCCUCCAGAUACAGAGAUACAGUUGAGAUGAGAGGUCUUUAGAACUUGUCUAAACACAUAUGGAGGUUUUGGGCCGUUUGUUUGGGCGCUUUUACCUUUUGAAGGCAUAUGUAUGCAGUAUGAUGAUUACAAAGAUACAGAUGAGAUAUAAGUCUCUGGGCCGGUACACAAAGGUUUUAGGCCUUGUACUUGAGUGUAUUUUCCCCAUAGGAGAUUUACAGGUACAACAGUCGAUCCAAUAACAAUAAUUAUUUUAAAAUUAUGGCCAGGUGAUGGUGCCAGGAGUCGUAAAUGUUUUAUUGGGAUAUUUCAGAUUGUAUAAUUUUGUUAUAAUUUGUGACCAAGGAUAACCUACUGAACUUUGACAUUAAAAUGUUUGGAUGAUAUUUGGUACUUUGAUCAAGAAAGUUGGUUGUAACUAUUGGUUGAAUAUUAAAUUCUUUUGGGAGUGUUUAUUUUUUAUAAAUUUACAGGUUGGGAAUAUUACACUUAAGAGGGAAGAUUCAGCUGAAUUUUCAGUAGAAUCUUUGGAUAUUAGAUUUAUUAUCAAACGGUUAGAUGAGAUUAGAUAGACCGGUUCGUGGCAAGUUGUGAAUCGUCAUGAGUCAUCACUGACCAGGCAUGCACUAAAAUAGUUAAAACAAUACUCUGUUCCCGUUCAAAUUAACCUUGGCGUCUUGCCAUUAUUAUCAAAUGUAUAUUAAUUGAUCAAAUAAAAUUUGAACACCACUGAACUGAUCGAUCCAUCAUGCAUUCUUCAGUACGACAAUAGAUGAUUGCCAAAUUAAACAAACAAAAAAGCAUUAACCAUCAAUCAUAUGUACUUGGUUCUAAUUAGUGUCUACUUAUUCGAAUUUUGUGGCCGGCAAAUCAAAAUCAUUAGCACCUCCAUGAUUAGUGCCCCAACUGUAACAAUAAAAAAAAAAAAAAAAAGUUUGGCAAAAUAAUGGGAAAUCCAUGAUGCAUUAGUGAGAGUUAGUUUAUUUUAACUAUUUAAAAAAAAUGAUAAAUUGUAUGCUUAAAUUAUAAAUAUUAUUUGCACUGCUCCAUUGUACAACUAAUUUAACUCUUGAUAGCUUUUAUUAGUAAACGAUGCGAUGGAAUUGUGAUACAAUUAAAAAUAUAUUAUACAAUAAUAAUAAAUUAAACAAAUAAAAAGGGGUCAUUAAACCCAUAUCAGAUUCUCUCUGGUUAACUGUGAUUCCGUAUAGAACUUAACGACAUGCACACGUGCCCCGGCGCGUGAUGAAUGGCCAGUUUCAAUUUGCAUGGAAGAUGGCAUAUCAUUUUCAAGAUUUAUAAAAUGAUCAAUACCUUCAACAACUAUUUACACUUGAGAAACAGCCUCUAUGAUGUUAAUUUCACGUGAAUAAAUGCACUAGGAAAGUUUUCAAGAUAAUAGAGGAGUCACAAGGGUUCCAUUUAAAACCGAGACUCCUUAGACUCUUGUCGCUUUAUUGACAGAACUAUCCUAGACAUGCAUAAAUACACACUACUUACAAUAGAUUAUCUCCCAAGUACAAAUGUUCAUCUCCACCAUAUGCGUGAACAAUACCGUAUAUGUCAAUAGUACCGUAUACGUGAAUAUUGUCUUAUCCGUGAACAAUGUUGUAUACCCUAAGCACGAACCUCCUGCUCUGAUACCAAUUGUUGCGGAAGCGUGUGGUUGAGGAAUUACUAAUAUUCUGAUAACUGAGACUUCUGGAGAAAUAUAAAUGAGGUGAUAAACAAAUGCAAAGAAAAUAGGACAUAUAAUUUACGUGUUUCAACUUAAAGCCUACAUCAACAGGCAAAGACCAUAAGAUAAUUUUACUAAUAAAUGGGAAUUUACAAAACUGUGAAAAGCUCUCAAAACCCACAACCCCAAUACAGCCAAUUGAAUCCUCACUAGAACACUCAAGUGAAUGCUCUCUUAAAUCUCUCAAAUUACUUCACUUGCAAUUACUCUCAACUCUCUCAAUUGGAUGAUUAACAAAUUAAGAAUGACCUUUCUAUUUAUAGGGAUCAUUGUUCACCUGCCACAAGUUUCAAUUUGGCUUCAAUUUGUCAAAUUAGAAAAAUUUGGCAAUCGGUGCCAACUUUAUCAUGCAAUUGUAGUUAAAAUCUACAUACUAGCUCAAAAAUUGCAUGCUUGAAAUUUGCAUGCUAGUUAUCACAUGCAAUUACUCAAUAAUUGCAUGCUUGAAGCUUGACUUUUCAACAGCCUUCCUCUUAGACUAAGAGUGACGUCACAUAUAUUAACAUAUGCGUGAGAAUCAAACCAAUAAUACCGAUCAAUACCGUUUGAUGGACCAACAAGAUCCACAAUUUGAUAAUCUAGUUCUUCUGUUUUCAUAAUUGGGGAAGACGAUACUCUAGAUAUAUUUUCAGAUAUAUGUAAUGUAUAACCUCCAAACUUUAGUAUCUUUUCUUGGAAAAGAUUCUUCAGUGUGAUAGCCCUACUAGUAUUACUCGUUUCUUCAUUAUUUAUUCUUAGACAUUUCAUAUCAAGAGGAUAGCAUAUUUUAGUUACCUCUUCUAUAAUAUUAUGUGUGAAGUACUAGCAUGCAACUCCUAUAAGAUAUAUGAAUUCAACAGUCUUCCAAUUAUGCAUUAUUGGGUGGGUGGUUCUUUUCUUUGACGUCAGUCAUUUGGCUUGCUUGAAAGGUGAUAUUUUGAUUUUGAGGUGAAUGAGUCAUCUUCUAACUUGACCAUGGCAUCACCAACAUCAGUAUGUGUUUAGUGAUUAAUGAGCUGCUAGAUAUAUUUUCUGGAUUUUGAAUAACUACAUCAAAAUUCCAUGUAACAUUCAUUAAGGGCUUAUAAAUGAAUUUAAUGGGUUCAAUUAGUAAAAACACUAUUAUUAUACAAAUUGGGUUUAGUAAGGGUAUAUUGGGCAUUUAGGUGAGUUUAUCGAGUAAAAUUUAAAAUUUCAAAAUAUGAGGGUGGGUUUAUCUCGUAAAUAGGUUUAGUGAGUAGCUUAGUAGGUUCAAAUAGCCGCACUUUUUUUUUUACUUUUUUUUUAUCAAAAAAGUCUAAAGAUGUUCUUUAAAAUAUCCCUAUUUAAUUAAUCUAUUUUCAUUCAUACUAAAUAAAAUUGAUCAAUUAGCAUUAUUAUUCAUCACCAUAACUUAUGAUAAUAGAGUAGCAUAUUAUUAUUAUUAUCAUUUUUUAUUUUCUUCAAAUUAGCAUUAUUUAUCUCUACAAUUUUUAUGAAUUUUUUUUCAUUUAAUACAUCAUAAACUACAAUAAAAUUGAUUAACAUGUGUUGAUUCAGAACAUUAGAACUAUAUUCACUUAUAUAUGAUUUAUGCUAUGAUAAAAAUAUUGUCUUACUUAUGUAAAAGUACUGAUUUUCAAACUUUUUAAGUUGAGAAAAACAACUAAUUGAUACUUAUUAUUAGACAUUCAAGCAAAACAACAAAUAUAUCAUCUAGAUUCAAACAUUUUGCUCUAUUUAGAAUUCAAAGUAAUUCAAAUUUAUUUAAAUCUUAGAAAAAAAAAAGAAAAAAAAAAACAGACUCCAAAGUUACUAGGGAUGCAGAGUAGUGAAUCAGGUUUAUAAAAUUAACCCAUUAGUCUUUUUGGUACUAGCCCUUUUGUUGGUCCACAUUUCAAAACUUACUUCAUGACACCAAAAUACACUCACCAUUACAUGAUUGAAACACGUAAUCUACCUAAAUUCCAUCAGAAAUUUAAUAUUUUCAAAAGCCUAUUGACUUGAACGAAGACUUGUUGAGAAGGACAUGAUUUUAGCUACUUCAGUGCAUAGUAUAAAUCAAGAGGCAAAUGGGCUUCCACUUCAACUUCGGGGUAAACAUUCACACAUAAAUUAGUUGGAUAGACUAUACGGAGGACAAUUGCACAAGCAACAAGAUUUUAUAAAAGGACUAAUGAAUGGUGUUGAAGUUAUGAAUCUUUUUAAGCAAAGCAAUACCAGUUUUUUUUUAUUUCUAUCAGGCUUUUUCAUUAUUUUGUGUGUUCACCACCUUCCCAUUUCAAUUCAGAUGGCAAAGCCUAACUUGAGGGGUGUUUGGAACUUUACAAAACCGGGGUCGUGAGCGGCAAUGAAAUCCUUGCGAUGUACACGAAGUACAUUAACCCAUAAAUCAAGCGGGUGAACUUCACAUCAGAAGAGCAAGCAAAAGUGAUAGUUGCCCCAAGAAGCAACAACGAGGUCGAUGCUUCCAUGUUGAAGGAGUUUCCUGAGUUGCUAUCCAUCAAGGAUUCAAUCAUCAUCUUACCUUGAGUAGUUGGUUCACAUAAAAUAACCAAGAACCCAAUUAUAGAGGGAAAAUUGUGUUCCAAUUUAGACGGAGUCUUCACUAAUUACUUCUUGACCCAAUUGGUUAGGAAUUUAUCGAUCUUGCAAUUCGACCUUUCAAGUUGAAGGUGGCAAAUUUUUUAUUCUAGUUGAAGUAUGGAUAAUGAGAAUACCCAUGGUUAUUCCAACCCCCACUAGAAGGCUGUAAGUACGACUUUUUCGAUCCUUGCUCGAUAUUCCAGUUAAUUUUUUAAAUAUUUAUUUUAAGAUUAAAUAUUAAUCAUGCACAUUAAUUUAUUGUAUAGUAUAUUACAUUUUAUAUCUUUUUAUCUUUUAAUUUAUCCUUUAAAGAAACCAUUAUAUAUAUAUGUUGGGAAAAUAUGCUCUUUAAAAGCAUAUAUGUUUAUUUAAUUGUAAUAAAUAUUUUUUCUGAUUAAUAAAAAUUAAUGAGGUAUUUUAUUCAAAUAUCUUAAUUGCAUUAAUAUUUUUAUUAAAGUUCAUUUAAUCAUAUUAUAUGUAUUUAUGUGAUCACCAUGUGGAUUCACAUAAGACAUAAAUACAAGUUAUCUUAUGAUUAAAUAAAUUUAGUUCGCAGUUGAUAAAUAAAGUUGGACACUUUAUUUAGGUAUAGACUGUAAUAAAUUCAUUAAAUGAUUUGUCUUAAUCAUGUAUGAAUUUAUUGAUGUAGUACGACUACAUUGAACAGGAUCACAUAUGAGAUUUAAUUAACUUUGUAAUAACUGUCAGACUUAUUAAAUCUCAUAGGCAUUGAUUUACUGUAAUCUUAAUCUUGAGUUAAUUAUGAUUUCAUGAUUGUAAUUGUUAUUCCAUUUGAGUUACCAAUAGGCAUGACACAUACUUGUAGUCUAGAUUACCCGGUAUCUUGGUGGGAGCAUUUAUGAGUAUUGGAGUUAUAGAUUAACAAUAUAAAAUUUGUACAACACAUCUCUUGAUGGGUUUUCGGCACUUGAUCAUAGAAUUCUCUGGCCAGAGUAUGUCAACAUAUUUAGUAUGUUGAAAAUGAUCAUUAGAGAAAACCAGUAAGUAUCAAGGAAUAAGAUGUAAUCAAAUCGAUUGGACAGUUGAGAUAUCGAUUUAAUUAAUGAUGUGGUACAAAGGAUUGUGCAGUAAAGAAAUCAAUGUGGCUUGGGACGAAUUAUUAUUCGAGCAUACAAUUAUGGAGGUCAAUUCCAAUCUUUUAGUGGAAUAGAGAAUUAGGCAAGUUUAAUUACAUGCCUAAUUAUUAUAGCCACUAUUGUAUGUUCCCAAAUGAUCCCCGGGUUAACUCAUUUAAUUGACUGCACCACUACUGGAUUAAUAUGCAAGAUGACUAGCUAUUUGGGUCAAAAGCCUAAAUAUAUCAUUUAGUGGGAGGCUCCAUUUAAUUAGCUUGUGUGUAAGGGGCCUUAUGUUAUUUUACAAGGUGGGUCCCCUAUAGAAAAAGCAAGUAACGUGAGUUGUGAUUUUCAUUAUUUGGAGCCUAGGGUUUUCACUAAAGGGAGAUAUAAAAAGGCUUAUUUUCGCUAAAGAAAAAAAAAGAGCAGUCACUUUAUACAGAUAAAAAAAAAAGAUUUUUCUCUCUAUUGUUGAGAGAAAAAUUUUCUCGUGCUAGUUGCUUUGGUAAUGAUAAAGGCGCCCACACGUCAAGUGUAGAUCAAACCUGAGUUAUAACCUGGAAGAUCAUUGGUGACAGUUCGUGAUCUAACAAGCGUGGUGGUGAUGGACAGUGAUCUAACAGGAGUGGUGGUGACAGAUCGUGAUCUGGGAGCCUAAAUCACUUCAGCGAAAAAAGCUAAAUCGGAUUUUCAAUGUACGAUUUCUAGAUUACAAAUUCUUAUAUAUUGUAUGAGAGCGAUCUUAAAAGGUUUUAUAAAAAUUUAAAAACCUGAUUUUUCUCCAACAAUUGGUAUCAGAGCCAUCUCAUAUUAAUAUAUAAGAAUUUCGUAUGAAAUUAAUCUUGAAAUUUAUGUAUUAGAGUGGAACAAUUUAUUCAGAUAUAUAUUAUUUCUUUAAUAUAUAAAUAAAGCAUGUUAUGGUUUGUCUUAAUUCAUGGUUAGAUUCUCUAUUGUAUUUUUUCUUUGGAUCUCUAACAAGAGGGGUGGUUUUUUAUCACCAUGUUUCCCUCUUGAUUUAUUUACUGUUAUAGAAUUUUUGUAAGCCAAAAUUGGCCUAGGAAAUUUGUAAAUCAAUCUCGGAUUUUCAAGAUCAAACGGACAUGAAAGAAACGAAGGCUGGAUUUUUCAGCGGCGGCCACCAACCAACAACGCAAGCACGCACGCAGCAGCCAGCGCGCGCGGGAAGCGUGGCUUGUGCGCGCAGCGCGCGCUGGCACAGGCUGCUCGCGCAGCAAACAGCGCGUGCUGCACGAGCAGCAAGUUGCACGCGCGAGUUUGGUGUGUUUCCGGUGACGCGGCAGCAGGUGGUUCGGCGUCGGAGGUCGGCUGGCGUCUGAACAGUGGCUGAGGUUUUUGUUGAUGGCGGCUGGGGAGAAGGAAAAGAAAAAUGUGAUUUUAGGGUUUCAUGAUUUUUAUCAUGGAGGUCCCUAUAGUUUCAUAUUCUUUCUUGUGGGCAGAAAAUUUUAAUUUUUUGCAUUUAAGUUCAAACAUAGUUUUGGGCUUAAUGAAUCCUAGUUUUGGGCUUAAUGAAUCCUAGUUUUAGGCUCAAUUUCAAUUGGGCUUAAUGGAUUAAAAUGCAUAGAUAAAAUUGAAUAUAUUAAAUUUAUUUUUGGUCCAAAAGUUUUAUUUUAAUAAAUUUUAUUUUAAUUAUUUAUUUAUUUUCUUUCAAAAUUAAAAGCCCAAUUUCCCCUAGUCUAUUAACAAAGACAAGCUUAUGGAAUAUGGACAUUGACAAGAAGCCCAAUGAAGAUUAGGCUUAGGGUUAAUGUAUUUUUCAUUAUUAGGAAAGCCAUGAAUUAAGAUUAUUUAAUUGUUUUUCUAUAUGUUAUGUUUUGGAUGAUAACAUGCCAUAUAGAAUAGGUAGUGCCACUCUAUGCAUAAUGAUACAUGUCAUUCAUUAAUUAUGAAUUUCAUUAUAUUGUUUGAAAUUUGCAUAUGCUUAAUAAUAUUUGGUAUCAUCUAGAUAAUAUUAUAGGAAGCAUGCAAUUAACAAUAUGUAUGUUUUAAAAAGGAAAAACUAAUUUUAAAAUAUUGAGUGGGAGAGGGAAAAUUCAAGAUAAUUUUCCCACAAGCUCCAUUGUUAGUUCAAUAAUAAAAUUAUAUAUAUACCUCGACUUCAUGAUACGGUGAUGCUCCCUUCGGAGGGUAUAUAUAUUAGAUAUUUGAUUUGAUAAACUUCUUCAAAGAUAAAAUUGAAAUAUUUUUUAAUCGAUUGUUCACCCCAAAAGUGACUAUUGAUAUGAAAAAUACGUAGAUUGAAACAAUGGUUAUACACUCAACUAAAAUUUGUUAUUAACCUUCCCAACGAAGCUCUGUUAACAAAUUUAGGCCCAAAAAGGAUAACGAUAAUUAUUUAUCAUAUCUCUACAUGAAAGUAAAUAAUCCAAUGGGUAAUUGGGUCUAGUAAGUAUAGACAUGACUUCCCCAAUGGAUAGCUUGUCAAAGCGGAACUAGAUUAUCGUUACAAUAAAUUAAAAUGCAUUUAUGAUUUUAUGCAUUUAUGUCAUUUAUUGUGAAUAUUAUUUCAAACUAUUUAUGCAUGGAUGUUUUAUUUUUCAGAAAAUGUCUUCCCUGAGCCCACUUACUAUUAUUCUGAGUCAAAACAAACUCACUGGAGAGAACUAUAUAGAUUGGAAAAGAAAUCUAUUCAUUGUCCCGACUGCUGAAAAUUAUAAAUAUGUCUUAACCCAGCCAUGCCCUCCAGUUCCAGCGGAUAAUGCUCAUAGAAAUCAGAGGAGGCUUUAUAAGAAAUGGCAAAAGGCCAAUGAAAUAGCAAAAUGCUACAUUUUAGCCUCGAUUUCUAAUAUUCUGCAGACCAAACAUCAUAACUUGGAGACUGCCACUGAAGUAAUGGAUAGUCUCCAACAGAUGUUCGGGCAGAGUACUCGCUCCGCGAGACAAGCAGCGCUGAAAGGAAUUAUGAACAGUAAAAUAGGGAAGGGCACAAGAGUUCGUGAUCAUGUCCUCAAAAUGAUGGACUAUUUAAAUGAGGCUGAGAUUCAGGGAGCACAAAUCGAUGAUAACUCAAAGAUUAACAUGGUGCUAGAAUCUCUGCCAGAAACAUUUAAGGAGUUUAAGGUCAAUUAUAACAUGAACAAAAGAAACAUGACCUUAACUGAAUUAAUGAACAAACUCCAUUCUGCUGAAGAGAUCUAUCGUGCUGAGAAAUCUCUGGGAAGCAUAAAUAUUACUGAAAAAAGUUCAUAUUCUGGGCCUAAACCAAAAGGCAAAUGCUUCAAGUGUGGACAGAAAGGUCACUAGAAAAAAUAUUGCCCUAAGAUUGUGAAAUCAGGUAUGGAAAAUCUUUUUGUAAUUGAGGCAUGUUUAGUUCAUAAUUCUAUUGACACUUGGGUGUUGAAUUCAGGAGCAACUAAUCAUAUUUGUAAUUCACUUUAUUGGUUUCAGGAAACCAGGAAAAUAAGUGAAGGAAGCGUCAAGCUGCAGUUAGGGACAGAACAAUUCAUGUCAGCAGUGAAGACUUGAUCUGUUUUAUUAUCUUUUAAUAAUGAGACUUUAGUUUGAAUAAUUGUCUUUAUGUUCCAGACAUUAAGAGGAAUUUAAUUUCAGUAGCUUGUUUGUCAAAGCAAGGGUACACUGUAAAUUUUGGAUCUUCUAUUUCUAUUUUUCAUAAUAAGUGACUUAUUUGUCCUGGUACAUUGGAAGAUAAUUUAUAUCAUUUAAGUCCAAUGAUCCAUUCUAUGCAUGACACAGUGAUCAAUAAUGAUGGGCAUACACAUUUAUCUAAGAAAAGAAAUAUUUCUUCCAACCAAUGCUACCUCUGGCAUUUACGCUUGGGUCAUAUAAACCAAAAUAGGAUACAGAGAAUGAUCAAAGAUGGGCUCUCGGGUCUAUUAGAAAAUGAAUCAUUGCCACUAUGUGAAUCCUGUUUAGAAGGGAAAAUGACCAAAAGGUCAUUCUCGGCCAAAGGAGUACGUGCAACAGUACCACUUGAAUUGGUACAUACAGAUGUAUGUGGACCAAUCAAUGUACAAGCUCGAGGAGGUUAUGAGUAUUUCAUCACUUUUACUGAUGAUUACUCGAGAUACGGUUAUGUUUAUCUGAUGCAUCACAAGUCUGAAGCUCUUGAGAAAUUCAAAGAGUAUAGGGCUGAGAUAGAAAAGCAAUUAGAUAAGAACAUAAAGAAACUUCGAUCUGAUCGAGGUGGUGAAUUUCUCUCAAGAGAUUUCAAAGAGUAUCUGGUUGAGAAUGAGAUUAUAUCUCAGUUGACUGCCCCGGGAACACCACAACAAAAUGGGGUAGCUGAAAGAAGAAAUAGAACUCUUUUGGAUAUGAAGAGAUCUAUGUUUAAUUAUUCGUCAUUACCAAUCUCUUUUUGGGGACUAGCACUGGAAACUGCAAUUUACCUCUUGAACUUAGUUCCAUCUAAGUCAGUGCCUAAAACCCCAAUAGAAUUAUGGUCAGGUCGCAAACCAAGUUUAUGACAUAUUCGUAUUUGGGGAUCACCAACACAUGUGCUGAAACCAAAGGCAGACAAAAUGGAUUCACGUUCUGAGGUUUGUAUGUUUGUGGGGUAUCCUAAAGGAACAAAGGGAGGUUUAUUUUAUAGUCCUCAAGAUAGGAAAGUGAUCGCGAGCACACAUUUCACUUCCCUCGAGGAAGACUAUAUAAAUAACUUCAAACCUAAGAGUAAGGUAAUACUUGAAGAACUGUCAAGUGAUCAGGUUGAUGCUCAGCUUUCAAUGUCUGUUACAAAACAGGAAGAACAACAACAACCAGAUGAUCAACACAGUAUUAUCCCUGAACAACCAUCACUUUUAGAACCUCGUCGUAGUGGGAGGGUAACUAGGUUACCUGCGAGAUACAUGCUUUUGGGAGAAACCUAUAUGGCUAUCUCAGAUGAACAUGUACAAGAUCCCACUAGUUACAACGAAGCUCUAAUAGAUAGAGAUGUUGAAUUUUGGAAAAAGGCCAUGAAUCAAGAAAUUGAAUCUAUGUAUUCCAAUAAAGUUUGGGAACUUGUAGAGGCACCAAAUGGGGUAAAACCUAUAGGAUGCAAGUGGAUCUACAAGAGAAGAGGAGUAGACGGAAGGGUGGAAACAUUUAAAGCAAGAUUAGUAGCCAAAGGGUUUACUCAGAAAGAGGGAAUCGAUUAUGAGGAAACUUUUUCUCCGGUUGCUAUGCUUAAAUCCAUCAGGAUUCUGCUCUCCAUUGCUGCAGUGCUAGAUUAUGAAAUUUGGCAAAUUGAUGUCAAGACUGCCUUUCUUAACGGGCAUCUUGAAGAAAAUAUCUACAUGCAGCAACUAGAUGGAUUUAUACAAAAAGGCCAAGAACAGAUGGUAUGUAAGUUGCAGAGAUCCAUUUAUGGAUUGAAGCAAGCAUCCCGAUCAUGGAACAUCAGAUUUGAUCAAGCGAUUAAAUUGUUUGGAUUCAUUCAUAACAUUGAUGAACCAUGUGUGUACAAGAAAAUUCAAGAAAAUUUUGUAGCCUUCCUAAUUCUUUAUGUAGACGAUAUUCUCCUAAUUAGAAAGGAUAUAUGAGUAUUGACUAUAAUAAAGAGUUGGUUAGCAAAACAAUUUGAUAUGAACGACCUGGGAGAGGCAAGUUAUAUUCUUGGUAUCAAGUUACUACGAGACCGGAAGAAUAAAACUUUAGCCUUGUCUCAAGCGGUCUAUAUCGAUAAGAUAUUGGCUAGAUUUAGCAUGGAAAAUUCCAAUACUGGUUUAUUACCAUUCAGACAUGGAAUUACAUUCUCUAAGGAUCAAUCACCUAAAACAUCUAAAGAGAUAGACAGAAUGAGACGAGUUCCCUAUGCAGAAGCUGUGGGAAGUCUCAUGUAUGCCAUGCUUUGCACUAGGCCAGACAUCUAUUUUGCGGUAUGGAUGGUUAGUAGAUAUCAAUCUAAUCCUGGACCUGAACACUAGAUUGCGGUCAAGCAUAUAAUGAAGUAUCUGAAAAGAACUAAAAAAUAUAUGCUUGUGUAUUCUGGUGAUGAACUCAUUCCAGUGGGUUAAACUGAUUCUGACUUUAUGUCAUAUAGAGAUUCCAGAAAAUCAACUUCCGGCUAUGUGUUUACAUUGGGAAGUGGAGUUAUUAGUUGGAGGAGUGUGAAACAAUCUUGUAUUGCAGACUCCACAACUGAAGCUGAAUAUGUGGUUGCAUCCGAAGCUGCAAAAAAAACUGUAUGGCUUCGCAAGUUCCUACAAGAUCUUGAGGUGGUACAUGUUAUAACUUCACCCCUUAAACUAUUUUACGAUAAUAGUGGUGCGAUAGCUCAAUCUAAGGAACCAAGGAACCACAAGAAACAAAAACAUAUUGAGAGGAAGUAUCAUCUUAUAAGGGAAAUAGUGCAGAGAGGUGAUGUGGAGGUUACUCAGAUUGCGUCACAGCAAAACUUGGCAGAUCCUUUUACUAAGGCCAUACCUAGGAAACCUUUUAACUUGCACUUAGAAUCCAUGGGCAUGCGUGAGAUGCCAAAUAUGCUUUGAGAGCUAGUGGGAGAUUGUUGGGAAAAUAUGCUCUUUACAAGCAUAUGUGUUUAUUUAAUUGUAAUAAACAUUUUUUCUGAUUAAUAAAAAUUAAUGAGGUAUUUUAUUCAAAUAUCUUAAUUGCAUUAAUAUUUUUAUUAAAGUCCAUUUAAUCAUAUUAUAUGUAUUUAUGUGAUCACCAUGUGGAUUCACAGAAGACAUAAAUACAAGUUAUCUUAUAAUUAAAUAAAUUUAGUUCGUAGUUGAUAAAUUAAGUUGGGCACUUUAUUUAGGUAUAGACUGUAAUAAAUUCAUUGAAUGAUUUGUCUUAAUCAUGUAUGAAUUUAUUGAUGUAGUACGACUACAUUGAACAGGAUCACAUAUGAGAUUUAAUUAACUUUGUAAUAACUGUCAGACUUAUUAAAUCUCAUAGGCAUUGAUUUACUGUAAUCUUAAUCUUGAGUUAAUUAUAAUUUCAUGAUUGUAAUUGUUAUUCUAUUUGAGUUACCAAUGGGCAUGACACAUACUUGUAGUCUAGAUUACCUGGUAUCUUGGUGGGAGCAUUUAUGAGUAUUGGAGUUAUAGAUUAACAAUAUAGAAUAUGUACAACACAUCUCUUGAUGGGUUUUCGGCACUUGAUCAUAGAAUUCUCUGGCCAGAGUGUGUCAACAUAUUUAGUAUGUUGAAAAUGAUCAUUAGAGAAAACCAGUAAGUAUCAAGGAAUAAGAUGUAAUUAAAUCGAUUGGACAGUUGAGAUAUCGAUUUAAUUAAUGAUGUGGUACAAAGGAUUGUGCAGUAAAGAAACCAAUGUGGCUUGGGACGAAUUAUUAUUCGAGCAUACAAUUAUGGAGGUCAAUUCCAAUCUUUUGUAGAUUUGGAAUUAAAUAAUUAGGCUAGUUUAAUUACAGACUUAAUUGUUAUAGCCACUAUUGUAUGUUCCCAAAUGAUCCCCGGGUUAACUCAUUUAAUUAACUGCAGCACUACUGGAUUAAUAUGCAAGAUAACUAGUUAUUUGGGUCAAAAGCCUAAAUAUAUCAUUUAGUGGGAGGCUCCAUUUAAUUAGCUUGUGUGUAACGGUCCUUAUGUUAUUUUACAAGGUGGGUCCCCUAUAGAAAAAGCAAGUAACUUGAGUUUUGAUUUUCAUUAUUUGGAGCCUAGGGUUUUCACUAAAGGGAAAUAUAAAAAGGCUUAUUUUCUCUAAAGAAAAAAAAAAGAGCAGCCACUUUAUACAAAUUAGAGAAAAAGAUUUUUCUCUCUAUUGUUGAGAGAAAAAUUUUCUCGUGCCAGUUGCUUUGGUAGUGAUAACGGCGCCCACACGUCAAGUGCAGAUCAAACCUGAGUCAUAACCUGGAAGAUCAUUGGUGACAGUUCGUGAUCUGACAAGCGUGGUGGUGACAGAUCAUGAUCUAACAGGAGUGGUGGUGAUGGAUUGUUGUGCAAAUUUUAAUGUACUCGCAAGCGCACGAAUCUAUUGUAGUAUAGAUCAAUGGUGACGAGUGUCGAUCCCACGAGGAGGUGGAUUUUAAUUAUGUGUAGAAUUAAUUUUGCAAAAUGGGUGGUUGGAUUUAUGGUGGAAAUGAUUUGGAAUAUGCUAAAACUUAAAUUAAAAUGGCGAGAAUAAAUUCUAAAAUUGGAAUUGCAAUGGCGAGAAUAAAUUGAAGAUAAUUCUAUUUGAAAUGACGUACUUGGGUAUUCGGAUCCGUAUCAACAUGCAUCAUGGGCUAAAUAAUCCGUAUUAAUGCCAAUUAAAUCAUGAUGGGGGAAUCCACACAUCAUGAACCACGCUCUAAUCAAUAUGGUGCUAAGGGCUUAUCGUGCCAAAUAAUAAUAACCUUAUACUAGAGAGCCGGUGUAACCAAGGCGGCAUCUAGACAAGAUUAGUAUUAUUUGUCGACGAGAAGUCAAAACAUUCACAAAAACUAGAGGGGAAGAGAAAAUAAAUUUACCAAAUUAAGCCCAUGACACAUGUUGAGACUUCACCUUCAACCCAAGCUUGAAAAAAAAUUAGCCACUCAUAAUUGAACUAGGGGCAAAAUGGGAAUUUAUUAAAAUACAAAGAAAAUACAAGAUGGAGAGGGAAUUACAGAAAAUGGAUCCCAAAAAUGGAUUCAGAGAUAUCAAAUUAGGGGGGGGAGGCCCCCUUUUUAUAGAUACAUGGAGUAAAUCAUGGCCAUCGGAUUAAAAACAGUUUGGACGCUCAGGAUUGCGCCACGUCAUCAGUCAACAGUCCACGGUUUGACCACGUGGAUGAACAGUAACACGGUUUGACCCGGAUGAACAGUAACACGGUUUGGUUGAAAAUAAUCCUGUGUGAUGCAUGCACCGUACGCGAGAUUUUUCGUCCACUGAUAUGCUGCCACGUCACCAUCAACAGUACAUAAGAAUUUUAGUCCAACAGGAUCGUGACACCUCAUCAGUCAAUGCCACAUCAUCGGUCAAUACCACGUUAUCGAUCCGUCUAUGUGAACAAUACCGUGAACAGUAACAUAUACAGUACCGUAUACGUGAAUAGUACCGUACAUGUGAAUAGUGCCAUUUUUCCUUUUAUGCCCCUCCUAAGGUUUUCGACCGUCCUGAGUUCAAAAGUGAUGUCCGUUUUGCCAUCUGAUCUCUCCUUUAUUGUGAAAUGACUAUAAUGCCCCUAAAAUACAUAAAAUACUUAAUUAAAAUAAAACACAUGUAAUUAAAUCACAAGAAGGUUAAAUACAUAAAAGUAAGGGUUGUUAAUAAGACUUGAAAUGUAAAAUGACGGUUUUCUCCUUUAUAAAUAUGCAUUUUCUAACACUCAACACGGAUCGUGAUCUGGGAGCCUAAAUCAUUUCAGUGGAAAAAGCCAAAUCGGAUUUUCAAGGUACGAUUUCUAGAUUACAAAUUCUUAUAUAUUGUAUGAGAGCGAUCUUAAAAGGUUUUAUAAAAAAUAAAAAACAGGAUUUUUCUCCAACAAUAUAUAUAUAGAAUUUCCCGCACUUUAAAAUCUUGGAUUGAAAAUUUUCUAUAUAUAUCCAUUUAACUGUAGCAUAAUCAUUAGAGACUCUCCUUAGAGACUCUUCUCUAGUUUCUGAAACAUUGAUUACACUAAUAAAUCUGGCUGAACAAGAUCUUCGUGGCAUGUGUGAGCAAGACAUGGGAUGCCUCCUUCAAUCUGGCAUCUUUCACAUGGAUACACUGGCCUAGUUUCCUUAGGAAAUGAAACUAUUAUUGUGUCAUCUUGUAGCCUUUCUACUUUUGGUACUUCAUGGACUUGCAAGGGCUUGUUAUUCUGCUCAUAUUCAUUUAUCCAUUGUGAAGGAAAGCUCGGUUGGUUUUGUUUGAAAGUUUUGGGAUGGAUAAUUCUUCCUUCUCUAGCAGUAAAUCUAGUGAUAAGAAGGUUACUAUGGCUCAUGGAAAACAUGUGGGUUUGGACUUUGUAGGUCAUGGUAUGGUGAACUGCAAGAGCCGAUUCAUUUGGCUUCAUGGUUAGUCCAUUUAUUUGGACUAAGACUUUUAUGGUUUCUAGAAGGGCUGGUUUGUGCAGAUCUAGGGUGAAAUUUGGUUCCACUUGGAUAACUACAUGCCCCUGGUUGAGUCCUGCCUCAACUGCUGAGAUCAAAGCUUUUUCAAAAGUUUGCCAUCUUGUUUCAAGAAUGGCAAGAAGGCAAGUGAUAUUUUUGCCUGCAAUGAAUAAAGGUUGGAUCCCAAGUCUGAUUGCACCUAAAUGCAAUUCGUUGUAUCCUUCAAUCCUAUAUCUCUUAAUAUCGUGUGGAGAGAGAAUAUGAAAAUAGGUUUCUUUAGAGCUAGAGGAAAUAGAUUGUACGACAACUUCAGAAGACUUUUACACAGACUUGAGUUUUGGCUGACGGAAAGGAACAACAUACUUUAUGGAAGAAAUUAGGGUAUUUACAUCAUAGGACUUGUAAUGAUUUAGAGGAUCUAAUCUAAGAGGUUGGAUAGCUUUUUGGUUUAUUUCUUCUUGGGUUUUGAAAUGGAAAUUUACAAUAGGAGAAUUAUUAUUUAGAGAAAAAGAUGAGGAAACCUCCAUACUAGAGGUAUGUUCCCCAGACUUGGUUAUAUUUUGGUUGUCCAUGGUCCCCGACAGCCCUAACACCAAGUCUUAAUAUCCAGGAGGAUACACAAUAGACUUCUUUUACUAGCGAUAAGCCCAAAACCAACACAGCUCUCCUUGGCCUAAUAAUAGGGCGCCACACCUCUUAGGGAAAUCUUUUCUAUAAAUCUCUUGACCAAAUAACCUAGUUUUGAGAAAAACAGGCUUUCUAGUCUUCUAUAAAGUUUCUGAUGUAGCAGAUCCGUUCUAACGGCGACCACAGAGCAUACUUUAUUAUAGAAGGGUUUUUGAAAACUUCUUUUGGGAGUACUGGCUCUUAUACCAAUUUAAAAUUAAGAAGAUUUAGAGGAUGAUUUUAUUAUAAGAAAAGAGAAUACAAGAUUUCACCCAAGAACUCUUACAACUCAAGACUCAAAGACUCGAUUAUCUAGCACACUACUAGGGAGUCCCUUUUAUAGGCACCAUACAUCCUUAUCUUUAAGGAAUCUACUUUACAACUCAACACAUUUGACUCUACACACUUGUCACUUAUUUAUUGGUAACUAUAAUUAAGUGACAAGUAGAUUUCUUGUGUGAUGUAACAUAAAGGAGUGAUAAGUCAUAAAUUAAAUUCCUUCAAGAUAAGAUGUAAUUAUGUAAAUAGUGAAAGGAGAUUCCCAGAAAUUUUCCAAUUCAAGAUUUUAAAGUGUGGAAAAUUUUAAGAAAACUUUAAAACCCUACGAUUUUAAAGUGUUAAUUUAUAUAUAACUCCUUAAUUUUAGUUAAAAGAGAAAACAUAAUGUAUCAUAAUUGACAAACAAAUACAUUAGAAGAAUCAUUUUGAAAGCUACAAGUAAAAAGGGGGUGGAUGAAUGAUUAUGAUAAAUAAUAUAAACAAAAAGACGAACCAACAAAGUUUGAAAUAUUUUUUGAAAUUGAUUCAACUUACAUGUUAGUGUAAGCUUAAGUAUGACCUUAACUUUUGUAAUAAACGUGCAUGAUGAAUGAGCUACAUAAGCAGUUUUUUUCUUUAUAGAAUACAAUAUAUGAAGAUUAAUAAUUAAAAAAAAAAUUGUCUGUGUGGAUGAUCGUGGAUGGUCAUCCUCUUGUUUUUUUUGAGUGAUUAUUGGUUACGAUAGCCCAGCUAUUAGAUCUGUCCGUCUAUCAAAUAUGUGCAAUUAAAGUUUAGUUAUUUAAUUAUUUAAUUGAAUGAAAUAUCUCUCGUUUUAAAAAAAGAUUAAUAGGACGAAAUAUUUUUUUUUCUCAAUGUUUUUAUAAUUCAGUGACAAAAACUGGUUUGCUUAUAAAUAAUAAGGUGAAAAAAAAUUAAAAAAAAAAACUAAUCUUAACCGCUCAAAAAAUAAAGAGAACCAAAGGAAAAAUAAAAAUAUAAAGAAAAAGAUCUCUGUGCAAAAACAAAGUUCGGAAUAUCUCUAACUCUAACAACCCAUUAUUUGGCAAUUACAAUUACCCCAUAAUUUUAUUGCAAAUAAAAUAAAGUCAGCCAAUCAGAAUUCAGAAUGGUCAGUCAAACUCAAGUCCAAAUAGGCAAAUACCCACUUUCCAUAAGAAAGUCAAAAGCCCAGCAAACCCCAAAACAAUCGGAUUCGGAUUCAAACCUUCACGGGUCGACCCAACCGCCCAAUAGACUUUACAGGUUACAACGAGGCAACCAGCAAAGCAAAAGCAAAAAAUGUUUCAAACUUUUGUUGGUUCAUCAACAAAAUUGUUUGUAUCAAAACACGUGUGAUUUUGAGCAUUAAAUAAUCGAAUUCUCUUAAAUAUACACAACAUCAGUGAAAUAAUACAAAAUAGUGUGUGUGCAGAACCAUGCGUAUAUGAGAACUGAGAUUAGCAAACCCUACAAAUAACUGACAUGCCGGAAGUGGUUAUGUCAAAGACUUACACUGUGGGAGCAAGCUUCAAGGGUUAAGUUUCAAUCUUAUCUUUUACAGGGACCUGUCUAUGGUACAGAUUCUGUAACAAACAUCUCCCGUCAUCCCACCAUCCGAUUUUCUAUUGUUCAGUUUCUCACUCCACAUCCAACGGCUGAUGCUGCAGUCUGUACCUUACAGAUUCUGUAAGCUAGUCGAGUCCCUUUUACAGAUAUGUGCAAGAACUAUUUACAAAAAAAGUUCUGGCCUAGGAUACUUUAUCUGCAGAUUAUUGGUAUUUUAAAAUGGGCAAUAUAUCGUUGUUUAUUUGCUUAAUUGUAUCUGAUUCAAAUCCAGCGAAACUAGAAGCAUCGAAUUCUUUUCUUACUAGCAUUUUGUGUUUAUCAACCCUGGAAAGGAGUCUAAUUGAGGCUCUGAGUUGACUACUCUAUUAAUGGGAGUUGGUUAUUAGAAAUGCCUUGAAAAAAUAAAAAGACAUAUUUCAAUUGCUUUAUAGAGCAAUGAUCGGUAAAUGCUUUCAUUUUCUUUAAACAUCUAAACUUUUUCUUCAAAAUAAGGCGCAUCAAUAAUAUCGUCAAACUAAAGAUUAAGCAUAUUUGCACGUGCCAGUUACUUUUUGGAUGUGAUUACAUUAUAGACUGGAUUUCAAGUUUUCCAUAAUAAUUUUCAACUCCUAUGUUAGUUUUCAAGUUUUGACUCUCGCGUUAAAGUUUUCAUGUCUGUAACCUAGACCUGUGAACUAGCAAAUUCCUUAUUGUAAAGGUACAAAACGCAAACAUCACUUUCCAAGUAAUUAAAUAUUAUUGUGGGCAAAAUGCGAAAUCAAAUGCACCAUAUAAUUACAGAAAAAUAAUAACACAAUUAUUUAACGUAGUUCGGUAACUAAACAUAUAUUCACGGAGACAAGAAAGAAUAAUUGUUUAUUUAACAAUUAAUAGAGUACAAAUAUUUGAGUAACGAAUCUCAUUUUUCAUAAACUCAAAUAUACCUAGUACUCUCACACUCUGAAGGAAGAUAAAUUCCCUAAACACACUUCUCUCACUUCUUUCAAAAGCUUAGAAACUUAUAAGUUUAACAAAUUUUAGGGAUGAUUUCCAAGUGAAGAAUGCAUCUCUAUUUAUAGCCAAAAUGAUUGUACUGUUGCACCAAACCCUUAGUCAAAUUGUCAAUUAAAUCUGCAACUAAAUUCUUCAAAAUUGACAAACACAUGCAUGCGGUGCCAACUUCCUCCAAAUUGUCAAUUAUGCAUGUGGCUUACCUUUUCUUUUUCAACCAAUUUGAAUAAACAACUCACCAAAAAUCUUUGACUUUUCAAUAAUUCUCCACAUUGGCGAAGAUUUGUCUAAAUCUAAGCUGACUACCAAUAAACCAUCAUCCCCAAAGUGGCUGCAUCUCUGUGACUGCCUACGUACCCAAACUUAGGAUCAAGCCAACUGUAGUUCAAAAUUCUCCAAACUCAAUGCAUUCGAAGAAUUUGAAUUAGUUUCAAUCCGUACAAAGAUUUAAUCAUUCUGCAUACACGAUUCUCCUUUCUAGCAACUUUGAAACCACAAGGCUGAGUCAUAUCAAUUUCUUCCUCCAAAUCUCCAUGCAAGAAUGCUAUUUUGACAUCCAAUUGAGCCAACUCUAACUCAUAUUCAGCUACCAAGGCAAGUAGGAUACGAAUGGAAGUAUGUUUUACAACUGGAGAAAAUACUUCAUUAUAAUCAAUACCUUCCUUCUGAGCAAAAUCUUUUGCAAUGAGCCUUGCCUUAUUUUGAGCAUUCCCAAGUCUGGUUUUGAUGGAGAGAUUUCAUCUCUUCCUUUAUAGCUAACUUCCACUGAUCACUUUCACUGCUGCGUAAUGCUUCACCAAAAGUAUUGGGGAUGUCAUCAUCAAUAACUGGAAGUACAUGGGCUACCACCAUGUCUUUAGCUUACCAUUCGAGUUUCUUUAUCUCUCUUCUUGGCCUCCUUGUUGCUAUAGAAUCAUCAUUAUCUACACCAUUAGUUGUUUCUUCAUUUUGUGGGACAUCAGAAAAAAUAACCUCUUCUUCAACUUUAGGUGCCACCUCCAUAGUUGAACAUUUCUCUUAUAUAAAACCAACUGGUACAUAUGGAGUUGCAUCAAACUCCACCCGCUGCAAUACCUAUGUGGUCUUGUUCUCCACCUGCUGAGAACUUGAAGCUUUCAUCAUUGGAGCUUCAUCAAAUAUGACAUCUCUGCUACACACAAAUUUUUUACCUUCGAGAUCCCAAAUCUUGAAGCCAUUUACUCCACCUCUGAAUCCCACAAAGAUAACUUUUCUAGCACGAGGAUCCAGUUUACCAUCUUUGACAGGAUAAUAAGCUGGACACCCGAAUAUACGAAGGGAAUCAUAGUCUUGUGCAUGCUUUCCAGACCAUAUUUUCAUAGGAGUUUUACCUCCAAUUGUAGCAGAAGGCAACCGGUUUAUCAAGUGACUUGCGUAGCUCACAGCUUCAGCCCAAAACUUUUUAUCUAAACCAGCAUUAGAUAACAUACAUCGUACUUUCUCCAACAAAGUACGAUUCAUACACUCAACCACACUGUUCUGUUGCAAAGUAUGUCUCAUCGUGAAAUGUCUUUUAAUAACCUCCUUCUGGCAUACUUGGAAGAAUGGAUCAGAAGUAUAUUCACCCCCAUUAUCAUAUCGUAAUACUUUGAUCUUUCUGCCAGUUUGAGUCUCCACCAGUUUCUUCCAUUUCACGAAAAUCUCUAAAACAUCAUCAUUUGCUCGCAUGGUGUACACCCACACAUGUCUAGAGAAAUCAUCAACAAAUAUAAUAAAAUAAUGGCUUCCACCAAUUGAUACAGUCUUGGUUGGUCCCCAUACAUUAUAGUAAACAUAUUCAAGGAUCUCACAAGUAUCAUGAUUGGUUGUACCAAAUUUGACCCUUAUUUUCUUGCUUACUACACAAUGCUCAUAGAAAUUUAAUUUACAGGCUUUGGUACCUUUUAAGAGUCUAUGCCUUAUCAGAAUUUGUAAAAACUUCUCUCCAGCAUGUCUCAGUCGUACAUGCCAUAGCUUGGUGGUGUCACAGUGUGCCUCAACAACAUUUGCUUCAUCAAUUGUACCUCCCUUCAAAUAGUACAUAUUGUGAUGUCGAAUUCCUUGCAGAAUCAUCAUAGCUUUAUGUGUAAACUUCAUUGUGCCAUGUUCAAUGGUAACCUUGUAGCCUUUAGCUUUUAGAGUACCCACAAAAAUUAAAUUUUUCUUUAAAGUUGUAACAUAUCUAACCUCUUUCAGUUUUCUGACCAUUCCAUCAAACAUUUUGAGCCAAAUUGUUCCUAUCCCCAUUGUGCAACAAUGUUGAUCAUUCCCCAUCACAACUGCAUCGGAUUCCAGAUUACAAAAAUCUGUUAAACAUUCCUUAAUGGGACACAAAUGAUAGGUUGCUCUAGUAUCAAGUAUCCACUCGCUCGAACUUGCAACAUACGCCGUAGACGUAAUAGAUAGUGAGUAGUCAAAGUCUCCAUCCACACGUGUCAUGUUUACUGCUACUGGUUUCUUCCCAUUUCUCUUUUGAGCCUUUGGACAAUCAUUUCUCCAAUGGCUUUUUUCAUGACACAAUGCACACUCAUCUCUGGCUAUAUUUAUGCUUCUCGAUUUAGACCGAGAGUUCUUUCCACCAUGCUUCUUCUUUUUCUCCAUCGUCAUUUCUCUAGUUAACAAAGCUUCAGAUGAUGCUCUUUCGGAAUGUUAAUCAUUAUUCCGAAUUUCCAAAUUGGUCAAUGUUAUGCAGACAUCUUUGAAAAUGAUCACGUUUUUCCCAUAUAUCAAGGUAGUCACAAAAUGAUUAUAUUCCUCUAGUAGUGAGUGUAACAUAAUUAUAACAUUGACUUCAUCCUUAAUAUCUUCAUCAAGAUUCUUCAAAUUAGCAAGUAACUUUUCAAAUCUUGGGACAUGAUCAUGCAUUGACACCCCAGGCUUCAUUCGAAAGCCAUAUACUUGGCUUAUUGCAUGAAGGCGAUUUUCACUCUAGUAGCCAUAUACUCUAGUAGUGAGUGUAACAUAAUUAUAACAUUGACUUCAUCCUUAAUAUCUUCAUCAAGAUUCUUCAAAUUAGCAAGUAACUUUUCAAAUCUUGAGACAUGAUCAUGCAUUGACACCCCAGGCUUCAUUCGAAAGCCAUAUACUUGGCUCAUUGCAUGAAGGCGAUUUUCACGACUUUUCAAGAAGUACUUUUCCUCCAAUGUACGCCACAAAGUCAUCGCACACUCCUCAUCUUUCACCAAGUAUUUCACCCCCUUGGUCAAAUAAGAUCUGAUCUGAUCACAGGCUUUUUCAUUCAUACAAUCCCAAAUUUCUUCAUCAUACAAGUGCCUUUUAUUUUUCAGAACAACAUCGAGAUCAAUUUGAAUAAGGACAUCCAUAACUUCGUGCCUCCACAUGCCGAAGUUGAUUUUCCCAUCAAAUUUUUCAACAUCGAUCUUUUGGCCUCCUACAAUAGGUGCUGAAUGGCGAUUUGACAAAUCUCGCCUCCCACCUGAAGUAUCUCCUGAAAUAGGCUCGGUAGAUCUCUCCGCAUUGCUGGAAGUUUCACAUUUUACCAUUUUCUUAACGAACUAUUUCCACUUGAAAAACAGCCUUUAUGAUGUUUAUUUCACGUGAAUAAAUGCACCAGAAAAGUUCCUACGAGAAUGGAGGGGUCACAAUGGUCCCACUUAAAACCGAGACUACUUAGGCUCUUAUCGCCUUGUUGACAGAACUUUUCUAAACAUGCAAAAAUACACGCUACUUACAAUAGAUUGUUUCCCAAAUAUAAAUGGCAAUCUCCACCGUAUUCGUGAACAGUAACAUAUACGGGAAUAGUACCGUAAACGUGAAUAGUAUCGUAUCCCCCAAGUAUGAACUGUCGGCUCUAAUACCACUUGUUGUGCGCGGAAUCAAGCGCACCAAAUAAUUAUAGAAAAAUAAAGGACACAAUUAUUUAACGUGGUUCGGUAAUUAAACCUACAUCCACGGAGGUAAGAAAGAAUAAUUGUUUAUUUAACAAUUAAUAGAGUAUAAAUAUUUGAGUAACGAAUCUCACUUCCGACAAACCCAAAUUUACCCAGUACUCUCACACUCUGCAGGAAAGAUAAAUUCCCCAGAUACACUUCUCUCACUUCUCUCAAAAGCUUAGAAACUUAUAAGUUUAACAAAUUUUAGGGAUGAUUUCCAAGUGAAGAAUGCAUCUCUAUUUAUAGCCAAAAUGAUUGUACUGUUGCACCAAACCCUUAGUCAAAUUGUCAAUUAAAUCUGCAACUAAAUUCUUCAAAAUUGACAAACACAUGCAUGCGGUGCCAACUUCCUCCAAAUUGUCAAUUAUGCAUGUGGCUUACCUUUUCUUUUUCAACCAAUUUGAAUAAACAACUCACCAAAAAUCUUUGACUUUUCAACAAAUACACCUAAUACUCUCACAAACUCUUGAAGAAAACAAUUUUCCCAAGACAAAUUCUCUCAUAUCUCUUAAAUGUAGAUCCCAGCUGAGCACCCAAGGAAACACUCUUCCAAACCUUUUAAGAGUUCACUUGCAAAUGUUUCUUUUCUCUGUACUCCCUCACAAAAAAACUAAAUUUUUUAAACUCCCUCUAUUUUGGGAUGCUUUCAAAUAAAAAAAAAGUUGCUUCUCUAUUUAUAGCCGAAGCUUACCAUGCAUGCUUUUAUUUCUAUAGCAAAAGUUUUGGCCACCUUUCAACAACUCUCUCGGAUUCUUUAAAUUUAAUGGCUUUGGUGUUAAAGUUAAAAGUUGUAUACGAAAGUACAAAAUUACAUGCUAACCACAUGCAAUUGCAUGCUACAUGCAUGUGCAUGCUCAACGCACUUAGCAUUUAAUUGCAUGAACAAAAUUGUCGAACAAUUUUAGUAUUUCAUCUUCAUGCUUUUAACAUAUAAUUACUUCGCCAAAUUGUCUUUAAUGUUUUCCACAUUCAAGUCAAAUUUUCGACAAUGUACAUAUAUCACUGAAUAUAUUUUUUUUUUUCCCAAGAGACUUUCCAAACCUAGUUUUUAUGAAUUACGAACGUAUCAUCACAUAUUAUCACAUCCAAUUUCAGCGUUUAUAAUUAAUCUCUACUCUGGUAAGUUUGGGAGGAGUCUUUAAAACAAGGUAGACGAAUCAAGGGAAGAAAUAGAAACAAGUAUAGAUGAAAUAUCUUCAACUUCUUGCGUCGAAAUCAGAAAUUUAGUUUAUCAUAGAAACUUAAAAAUAAAUUCAAUACAACGGAUCCCAACAACUUUAAUUGAUUAUGUAUUUCAAUUAAAUUCUCAUAGAGAGGGAAUUAAAUUCUUUAACUCAUAGGAACAUUUCAAUUAAGUUUACGGGGGCAACAUGGGCUUAAAUAAUGGAUGUGUAAUUUAAGGGUUCUUUUAAUCAACCCCGGGCAGGUGCUCCCGCUUCGCCAAGGCUAGCUCCGAGCGUGACACUGACAGCAGUAUAAUUCUAAAUAACAUAGUAUUUUCAUAUGGUACUUGAUUUUGAGUGGGUACUUAAAGGAGCUUCUAUUUGGUUCGGCUUAUAUACGGACCAUCUUCUUAAAUACAUAUGUAAUUGCAUGUGCUUGGUUUACUCUAAUAAUAUCCUUUGUUACAGAUCGAUGUCCGCACUUUUAAAUUCCCAGAGUGAAUAAACAUUUUGAUUUUUGCAAAGUGAAAAUCAUCUCUCUUGCUUUCUGCAUGCUAUAAGCAUACUGAUAAGAAUAAUUGGAAUAUCAUACUGAAAGUGAUAACCCUGCUCGGCAAGAUAGGAUAUUAUCAUCUUAAAUAUCAGUUUCUUGUUUUAUUAUAGGAAAAAAAAUGAAAGAAUUAAGUAAUUGGUACAGAAAUGUGAAAUAAGAGAGUCGAAAGUAAUAAGAACAGAGCAUUUUCCAAUAAUUAACGCUCAGUCAACGCUCAUUCGCCAGAGACUUCUCUUGAUUUUUAUCAUCUCAUACUGUCAUAUCCUAACGAACAAUGAACGCUCAGACUGAAGACUUUUCUUGGCUUCAAUAAUUAAUACAGAUUAUACCCAGUAUAAAUUGGCAUGGAUUGCAGGAUUUUUUAUAUCCUAAAAACUAAUGAUAAUUAAAAUGUCAUUGAAAUUGUUCCUUCUACUUCAAUAUAUGGCUUUCUUUUCUGUGCUAUUAUUUCAAUUGGAGCCCAGAAUUGCUGAAUCUAACAGCAUAAUAAUCAGGUGCAUUGAUGAGGAGAAAGAAGCGCUUCUCACUUUUGAACAGUGCCCGGUGGAUGAAUAUGGCGCUCUGUCUUCAUGGGGAAGAGAAGAUGACAAAAGAAAUUGCUGUAAAUGGAGAGGAGUCUGCUGUAACAACACAACUAGCCAUUUCAAGGUGCUUAAUCUUCGAAGUUCCAACGAUGAAAAUGCUCGAAGAAAGAUCUUGAAAGGUACAAUUAGUUCUGCUCUGCUGCUCUGCUUAAAUUGCAUGAUUUACGACAUUUGGACCUUAGUAACAAUCAACUUCGGUGGAAUCCAGUUCCUGAGUUCGUUGGUUCCCUCAGCAAAUUGAGGUACCUCAAUCUCUCUUGUGGUACCCCUUCAAUCCCUCAUCUUCAAGACCUUUCAGGAUUGCACUUCAAUUUGAGUACAUCUAUCGAGAAUCUUAUCUCUGUAACAACAAUCUCCCUUCUUCUUCAGUAUACCUUGGCUUUUUAAUCUUAGUAGGAAUAUUCUUCAUCUUAACUUGGCUAUAACCAAUUAAGAGGUUCAAUUCCAGAGACUUUUCAAGACAUGGUUUCUCUCAGAUAUCUGUCUCUCCCUUCUACUGAACUUGAAGGUGGGAUUCCAAACUUCUUCGGAAACAGCUGUAGCUUGAAUAUAUUACGCUUGCCUUUCAACUAUCUCAAUGGACAGCUCUCGGAAUUGAUUCAAAGUUUGUCCGGUGGAUGCAUGGUGAAUUCACUGGAGUCGUUGUAUUUAGGUGCCAAUGACCUCACCGGGCCAAUACAUGAUUUUGGAGGGUUUUCAUCCUGAAAGAAUUAAGACUUAGAGAAAAUGGAUUAAAUGGAACAAUAAACAAAAGCCUCGGCCAAUUGUCGAAGCUCGAGUCUCUGUCACUUGGUAGGAAUUCAUUCACAGGUGUCAUCUCUGAAACUUUUUUUAACAAUAUGUUCAACUUGCAGAUACCUACUUGAGUUGAUAACUCUUUGGACUUUGAAAUUGAGCCAUGAUUGGGUUCCUCCUUUUCAUCUGAAAAUAUUAAGUCUUGCCUCUUGCAAGAUGGGACCUCAUUUUCCAAAAUGGCUUCAAGCUCAGAAUGAACUUAUUUCACUUGAUAUUUCGAAUAAUGGAAUCUCGGAUAGUGUCCCUGACUAGUGUUGGGAUUUGUCUAUUGAACUCUCUUUGUUAGAUCUCUCUAACAACCAUAUCAUGGGUAAACUUCCCGAUUUGUCCUUGUUAAGGUCUGAUAAUAUUGUCAUAGAUAUCAGUUCAAACCACUUUGAGGGCCUAAUUCCACCGCUUCCUUCAAAUUCUAUAUCAUUAAAAACUCUCAAAAAAUAAGUUUUCAGAGUCAAUUACUUUCUUAUGUUCAAUCAGUCAAAACACAUGGAACUUUUUUUAUCUCUCGGAUAAUUUAUUAUCUAGAUAGCUUCCUGAUUGUUGGUUGUACUUUGAUAGCCUAUCCAUUCUUGACUUGGCAAACAAUAGCUUCUCCGGAAAAAUUCCAAACUCGAUGGGUUUCCUACGUAAUAGCCGAACACUGAGUUUACACAACACUAGGUUAACUAGGGAAUUGCCUAAAGAAACGAGUGUUUUUCAUUUCUUAAGUAAAAUAUUAUACAUUGAUCAUAUUUAUAGAUGCAGAUGUUACAAUUUUUUUCAAAAAUUAGACACACGUAUUACGGAAGGAUCUCACCAACCGUGUUGUUGACGUUCGGUGCAGAUCGUGUCUUUGACAACUUCUAUUCAAUGCCGUUUUAGUUGACAUUCUCAACAUUGCCUUCAUCUUCAAGGAAUUGCUCACAACUGAGAGCUUUGGAUCUCAAGAAGAAUGCAUUUUUUGGUGAGAUACCAACGUGGAUAGGGGGAAGUCUACAAAAUUUGACUGUUCUUAGCCUAAAAUCUAACAAAUUUCAUGGAAAUAUACCUUAUCAAUUGUGUAAUCUGCGAUUUAUUCAAAUCUUGGAUCUUUCUUCAAACAUUUUAUCGAGAAAGAUACCAAAGUGUUUCUAUAAUUUUUCAGCCAUAACCAAGAAAGAAGUUCCAAUCCUACCAUCGGGUUCGGGCAAUACGUGGUCGUUCACCUUGGAAUUGCAUAUGAAUUCAGCUAUUUGGACACUUUACAGUGGACUUGGAAAGGAAGUGAGAACGAGUACGAAAAUACUUUGGGACUUGUAAAGUGCCUUGACCUUUCGAAUAACAAAUUAUGCGGAGCAAUUCCUGAAGAGAUUAUGGAUGUUUUGGGUUGAUUGCCUCAAACCUUUCGAGAAACAAUUUAAUUGGAGCAAUCCCUCCAAAGAUUCGUCAGUUAAAAUCAUUGGAUUUCCUGGAUUUAUCUAGAAACCGGUUUUCUGGAAGCAUUUCGUCUGGCCUUACUCAGUUAAGUCGUCUUGGUGUCUUAGACUUGUCGGACAACAGCUCGUCAGGAAAAAUCUCAUUAGGCACUCAGAUCCAGAGCUUCAAUCCUUCAGUGUAUGCUGGAAAUCUUGAACUUUGUGGCCUUCCACUUCAAAAUAAUUGCCGGAUGAAGAAUCAGCUCCAUGUCCAGGCAUCGAAGAUGAUGCAAACACUCCAGAAGAUGAGGAUGAUCAGUUUAUAACUCUCGGAUUUUACAUGAGCUUGAUUCUUGGUUUCUGUGUUGGAUUCUGGGAGUCUGUGGAACUUUAAUGCUGAAUCAACUUCUGGAAUGGUAUGAAAGAUUCGCUCUAUGUGACAGCAGCUGUGAAUAUUGCAACACUGCAAAGAAAGUUCAGGAGCUAAUUAAACGGUAAUACUCCUUAAUUUCAAUUGUGUUUCAGUCAUCAUAAUCGGCUCACAUGCUUUUAAUUUCUUCAUCCUUAAAUUUUGGUCUUUCCUCUUGCAAGCUUUUGUUCCUCUAAACACUUGUUCAUAAUUUUUUUUUUCCAAUUAAUCACCGUCUUUUCAGCAGGGUCUCUCUGGAGGACGGCUCGCAUUAUGUCGUUUAUUAUUCAGAGUGCUCAUUUGAUAUUAGGAAUCUUUCUAAAAUUAAAAUGUGCUCUCAUACGCUGCACAUUGUAUGUUGAGUGUAGGCUUUAAAGAAACUUGUAUGUGGUUCUCUUUAGACCAUCGUUGAUCUAUGCGUCUAUAUACUUUGGUUAGAGUUUAAUUAUACUAUUAACCCAUUAUAGCAAUAAAGAUCGUCAAAUUCUGUUCUGCUAUUGAUCAAUGCUAGCUUUUUUGCUUUUCAUUGGUGAAUAAAUUUAACUUUUAUUUGGCAAAUAAAAAAUAUCUCAGAAUUUUGCAUGUAUUACACCUCUCCAUUACUAUUAACCGAUUAUUAAGAUAAACUCCUUUUUAUUUCCUUUAUAUUAAUUGAUCCCGCAAACGGAAUAAACUUCAAUAAGAACAAUAGAGAUCUAGCUAAACAAUAUUCAAAACGACAUAGUAAACAUAAGUAUAAAGCUAAAACACACAACACAACUACGAAAAAUUAAAAUAACUAUUGUGCAUCCGUAGAGAAUUUGUAUCUUGGAAAUCUAUUAAUGUCUCAUUAUUCGGUAGAAGAAAGUAAAGCCAAAUUAGCCAUUAGAAAAGUCUUGGAUGUUUUUAGAGUACCGUUCUUUUUUUAUUUAUCACUUAUCACGUGUAUCCUUUAAACCAAUCAUAAUCUUAUAAAGUAGUGAAUAUAAUUAAGGAACAAUGGUCCAGGAGCACCGAAAACCCAUCAUGUCAUGAGCACUAUUUGAUUCCAGCAAAGUGAAUGAUAAUAAAUAACAAAAGACAAAAAAAAAUUAUAUUAAAUUAAAGAGUUGGUGACUAAUAAAAUUAUUAAAUGGAUGGUAAAAUUAACUGAUAUUUAAACUAGAAUAAUCUUAUUAACAAAGUAGGGGUAGAUUCGUAUGAUUCCAGAUCAUUGGUACUAAAAUGUGAACAAAGAGAUCGAACUUUACAAGAAAUUGCGCUUACUGUAGUCGAACCAGUUAUUGAUUAAAUUUCCACGAAGAUGACAUGUAAUGACGACUAUCAAAGAAAUAGAAGACCACACAAGGCUUUCUAUCCUAUUUUUUAUCAAUUUUACCAACGUAUCACCACAAAACCAUCACAUUCAAGUCCCAGCUGAUUCUAGCUAACGUGUUACUACUAAAGUCCAUUAAUAAUGCAUUGCAUUUUCACAGCCAUGGUCAAUUUCAGCGUUUCUCAUCAUUGCACUCUGUUUCGGUAAGUUUGGUAGGAAUCUUUAAUACAAUGUACAAGAAUCAAGGGAAGAAAUAAGAAAUGAUAAAGGAAUGCAAGUGGAAGAUAUAAAUUGUGAGAGCAUUUCGAUUCAGUUUUAUGGGGGCAUAAGCUUGACUUAGAUUGCCAAAUUGUUAAUACUCAUAGUUUACCAAAUAUGUACCUGACUACAUUCUUGUCUAAUUGAUUAUUUCCAAAAAUGGAGCUAGUAUUACACAAACAGCCCAUAAAUUGCAUUCAUUAUUAAAGUUUCUGUUCCUAUGAGCUGAAUUGAAACACCUCCAUGACACAGGAAAAGGAGAUUCCCAUUAUAAACAUGCUCUUAAAGAGUUAAAGAGACAAGUACAUGAGGAUAUGGCAAUUGUAUGGUUCCCUUGGGCAUCCCAACCAACCAAAAAUGGGAUUUUGGCAGAAUUAGGCAGUAGACUCCACCACCAUCCUGCUUUAUUUUCAAAAUAUCCCAGGUGGAUUAUCUAUAUUCUAAUUCUUCGCACCCUCCAUUCUCCAUACUCUUCUUCUAUAUAUUAUCUCAUCGUUACUCUCUAUUUUGGUAAGUUUGGUAGGAAUCUUUAAUACAAGAAUCAAGGGAAGAAAUAGAAGUGGAAAUAUAGUUGGUGACAGCACUUCAAUUAAGUUCAUGGGGGCGUAAACUUAAUUAAUGGAUGCAAUUUUAAGAGCUUUUCUCUAAUCAACUGUCGCAACUGCCCCCAGUUGCACAAGACUAACUCCAUGUGUGACACUGACAGCACACAGCAGUGGUGAAUAAUAUUGCCAAAUUGCAACAAAGCUUGGGGAGCUAAAUUGAUAAUGCUUAUAGUUUACCAGACAUGUACCUCACUUCAUUUUUGUCUAAUUGAUUAUUUCCAAGGAUGGAGCUAGCAUUAGGCAAGUGGGGGCAGUUGCCUUCACUUGAUUAAGACAGCCUGUAAAUUACAUUCAUUAUUUAAAUCUCUAUCACUAUGAACUAACUUGAAAUACCUGAAUGAGUUGAAGUUACAAUCCCUUAAAUUUAAUACAUUAUUAAAUUGUCCCUAUAAACUAAACUUCUGGUUCGUCCUUUACUAUCUCAUCAGCCCAAUAAAAGUGAAUAACUUUAUAAGCAGCAUGCAACAACCCCAAACUGAGUCUAAGAAUGAAGUUUAUUUUAUUUCUCUAAAAAUUCUAUAAAAAACUUCUAUUUUUUAACAACCAUUUAAAAAGACUAUUAAGAAAUUUCUUUUUCCAAAGGCAUAUUGACCUGAGCAAAGACUUGUUGAGGACAAGGUUUAGCUACUUCUGUGCAGAAUAUAAACCAUGAAAGGCAAGACUUGACAAUAUAUCGUCAAUACUAAUGAUAACUAAAAUAUCAUUUUCAGAGACCUUGUUAAUUUACACUAUAAUGUAACUUAACACCACUUCUUGUUAAUUUACAUUAUAAUGAAACUUAACACCACUUCAUUUUCUUGAGACGACUAUUGAUUCGACUGAAGACUCUGUUGUUGACUCAAGACUAUUGACUUGAAUGAAUUGUUGAUCUUUCUUGUGCAUGCAUUACCACCUUAGUAAUUCAAUUUCAACCCUCUGACUGUUUUGCAAACUGAUCAUGACAAAAGGGUCCUCUGAAUUGAUAAGUUACUAAUUAAGUAUUUCUAUAUUAGUUAAUUGUAUUGAAAAUAAGGGAGAAACUUAUCCUUCUCUGCAAUAUACACUUGCAGCCACACCAAUCACUUCUUAAAGUCGCAUAGGAAAAAUAAUGUGUUAAUCCAGGACAACAGCCUCAUCCAAUUUGAAUAUGGCAUCAUCAUAUCUUAAAUAGAUAAUGUUAUGAUUUUUAUACCACAGAAUAUAUGCCUUUUUAACUGAAUACAUCAACAAAAGUAUGCUGGUAAAUAUAUUUAUCAAGAAGACGAUUACUGGCCAUUUCAUUAAAGACUUAAAAGGCAUGUAAGUUGUUGAAGGAUCAGAAUUGUAUCUAAUCUCUCUAUUCACAUACUUCAACAGAAACCAUCUUUCUUCUAUCAUCUCUCAUCUCUCAUCUUUUCACCUUUUCCAUUCUUCUAAAAUUAUCUCUUCUGUAUUUUCUGAUUUAAGGGGUUGCUGGAAUUAUGAAUCUAGUUUGUACUCUUAUAGGUAUUGGAAAUAAUCAAAAGCCACAGAGCAAGCAGAAAGUCAAUGAAGCCUUUGGAUUGGAUUGCUAUUGCAUAUUAAGCUCCUGUUGCAGCAUCUACUGCUAUUUUUUUAAAUCUACUCAAUUGGUCAACAAAAUUUUUCGGAUGCUUCUAAAAAUAUUUAUACGUAUAAUACCUUUUACUUAAGAUUGUCCUCCAAGCUGAGAACCAAGAAACAGUUAAACAAAAAGGUUUUCUUUCUGCAUUAGUAUUUAUAAACUCAAAACUUGACACACUAGACUAAAUCUCUAUCUAACUUUCACACAAACGGCAAAAGAGGAGUCCACGCAAUUGUGUCACAAAAUCCAUAAGCAUGUCAUCACAAAAACAUGUAGAGAAUUUAGAUUAUUAAUUUUCAACAAAGAGCAUCUGAAUUUUUUCAGCAUCAAGAUCAGAACCAAACUAGAUAACAGAUAUACAAUAAGGCAAGUGGUGAAGAAAUAGAGCAAAGACACUCGGAAAAGGCAGAUUUAAGUUCGAUGAGCUCUAGAUGCUUAACCCAAAAAUAGCAGAUAUUGCAGGUUUAUAUAAUAAGAAAGAUGACACAGAAAAAGCAUGGACAAACUCACAGCUCUGUUGAAAGCAGAAACUCCAGCAUUGGCUUGCAGCCACACUCAGUCUAGUCCUGAAAUCAGACUGAAUUUGGGUAGGCGUAAAACAGGACAGCAGCCUCAUCCAAUUAUGUUCACCUACAAACAUUCAAAGUCAUACAAGUUUCUUUCUAUAAAUGAGAAAAAUACAGUAAUUUUGAGAAACAUAAAGAUAAUUCAAACUUAAAAAUAGCAUAAGAACAAAAAAAAUUUCAAUUUCAUUGGAUGUAUAGAAUUAAUUUGCCACAGAGCUUCCAGUAUAGAGCAGUAUUCUUCAAUAUCUUAUCUUAGGCCAUGCAAAAGAGACAUAACAUGUUAAUGCUAGUUGUACAAAAAGCAAGUUGUUCUUAUAAAUAUGAUAUGUGAAUAAUGUGCUACUAACACCUAGAAUAUUUUCAUAUUUUAUGACAUAAAAACAAGUACAUCAAUGUAAUUCUGAGUUCUUUACUGUCAUAACCUCAAUUCUUUGGGGAUCAUCUCUGAUACUCUGUAUCUUAAGUUACCAUUUUCUGUACCAAUUUACAAUUACACAACAAAGAUUAUCAGUCACUCCUUAUACCACCAAGGUAGAUACAAAUAAAGCAAUGAAAUAACUUUUACAACAACCUUCUCAGAUUCGAGUUUGUACCCACUAAUCCUUUAAACUAUGGUCUUUCUUUUUCUUGAUUACUCUACUUAUAUCACAAUCAUCCUGUCCAAGAAUUGUUAUAGCUAGUGACCAAAACCUAACUUCGGGCUGGCUUUACUCCAUUUAGAUUUUUAACUCCCAGGUCAUUAACUGACAACACUAAUUUUGAUGAAUCACAAGGAAGCCAUUUGGACUUCAUGCUCUUUGCUCUCAAAGAAACCAAGGUCCCGAUUCUCAAAUUCCAAAAAGUUAAGCACACCAGAAACCAGAUUAUGUUUGCAUUGUCUCAUAGAUGUCAGUAAAACCCAAAUUCUAAAGAACUACAAACGAAUUUGAUUCGGUUCUGAAUUAAUCAAAAAUGAAUCAAUACAAUACAGUAGUAAAAAUAUUUCAUUUAUGAAUGAAACUACAGGAUUUUCAUGAUGUUUAAAAUAAUAGUACAAUAGGAUCCAACCAACAUAAACCAGUGGCCAACCUGUUAUGAAUCUCUCACAAAACCCUGGAGCCCUUACAACUAUUUCAAGAUGUUUUCUCCAUCAGUUUUAUUGGGGUGUCAGAAUAGUUGANAAGAAGAAGAAUAUUUUUCAUAAAGAGAAAUGAGAAAAAUCCUAAAUAAUAAUGUAGCAUAAAUACUUUAAUUUUCUAGUUAAGUAUAUUAUUCAAUUUUCUCUUCGAUAUUAAUUUCAAAAUUGUCAGACUUAUUACAAAUUGUUACCAACGAAGUUGAUGUAACUCAAUUAUCUGACAUUAAUUAUGGAUAUGAAUAAUUAAAUUUUGCGUGUUUAAUAAGUGGGUUGUGUUCGAAUCCGUUUAAUCCCGUCAUGACACGAAUCAAGAACAUGAUUAUUAGCUUAAUUUGUAUAAAGUUUUAGGAAAAAAAGGGUGUCCGUUAUAAAAACGGGAGAGAGAGAUGAACCGGGUCGACCCGUCAUCAUCGCCAGAAACCGGACGGAGCGUCGCGUUUGAAGCACGAAAAUUGCGGCUAAAACCCAUCACCAUCACCUUCGAUCUCGCCGGAAUUAGGCCUCGCCACCGCCUGGAUCUUUCUCCUCAGCUCACCCUCAUCAUUUUCAGACGGGUCCCGUCACCUGAAACGGUCGUUUAGCCGCCGGUCGGCCGCCGGAGGUUCACGUUUUUUUAAGCUCGAUUCGUCGUCGCUUCCGCGCGUGAAUUGUCACCGCUGGCGCCAUCGGCCUCAACGUGGUCCGCACUAUCAGAUCUGAGUUUCCCGACCACCAUUGACUGAACUACGGGCAUUUCGGUAAUUUCACAUAUUGGUGGAUAAUUUAGUAAUUUCAGACUAAGGGCAGUUAGUUAAUCUAGAUUUUGGGGUAAUUUGGUAAUUUAAGUCUUUUAAGGCAUUUUGAUAAUUUCAUACUCCGAGGGUAAUUUCAUAAAUUCAUAUCUUAGUAGACAAUUUGGUAAUUAGAUUGAGGGCAGUUUAGCAAUUCGCCACUUCAGGGUAAUUUGAUAAUUUAUGUUUCAAGGGUGUUUUGUAAUUUAAGAGAUAGGAGUGUUUUAGUAAUUUUAGGGAAUUAGAAGAUGUGUAAUAGGAAUAAAUAAUCAUUUCGAGUUUUAUUGCAUAGGAUUAUUGUAUUUCACAUAUACGUGUGGUAAUUAUGUCGUUUCCUUCAAUUAAAGAGACUCUCAAACGAGAAUCAACUCACACACAUGAACAAAA
Molecule: long non-coding RNA, 35309 nt
Filed under: Citrus maxima (pomelo)
Lineage: Eukaryota; Viridiplantae; Streptophyta; Magnoliopsida; Sapindales; Rutaceae
Description: long non-coding RNA (CMAX_LNC003903)
Source: RNAcentral